This 480-nucleotide ribosomal RNA is filed under the name uncultured bacterium. RNAcentral's name for it is "partial 16S ribosomal RNA". It matches the Rfam family "Bacterial small subunit ribosomal RNA", at positions 29 to 507 of the family's 1533-position model. The record is from RNAcentral.
AUGAACGCUGGCGGCGUGCUUAACACAUGCAAGUCGCACGAAGCACUUUAUUUGAUUUCCUUCGGGACUGAUUAUUUUGUGACUGAGUGGCGGACGGGUGAGUAACGCGUGGGUAACCUGCCUUGUACAGGGGGAUAACAGUUGGAAACGGCUGCUAAUACCGCAUAAGCGCACAGCAUCGCAUGAUGCAGUGUGAAAAACUCCGGUGGUAUAAGAUGGACCCGCGUUGGAUUAGCUAGUUGGUGAGGUAACGGCCCACCAAGGCGACGAUCCAUAGCCGACCGGAGAGGGUGACCGGCCACAUUGGGACUGAGACACGGCCCAAACUCCUACGGGAGGCAGCAGUGGGGAAUAUUGCACAAUGGGCGAAAGCCUGAUGCAGCGACGCCGCGUGAGCGAAGAAGUAUUUCGGUAUGUAAAGCUCUAUCAGCAGGGAAGAUAAUGACGGUACCUGACGAAGAAGCACCGGCUAAAUACGUG